This 65-nucleotide ribosomal RNA is filed under the name Actinoplanes philippinensis. Lineage: Bacteria; Bacillati; Actinomycetota; Actinomycetes; Micromonosporales; Micromonosporaceae. The record is from RNAcentral.
CUAAGCCCUCCAGCGCCGAUGGUACUGCACUCGGGAGGGUGUGGGAGAGUAGGACGCCGCCGGAC